Molecule: ribosomal RNA, 680 nt
Filed under: uncultured Actinomycetales bacterium
Lineage: Bacteria; Bacillati; Actinomycetota; Actinomycetes; Actinomycetales
Description: bacterial SSU rRNA
Rfam family: Bacterial small subunit ribosomal RNA
Source: RNAcentral
AAAGGCUCCAGCUUGCUGGAGUGCUCGAGUGGCGAACGGGUGAGUAACACGUGGGCAAUCUGCCCUGCACUCUGGGAUAAGCCUGGGAAACUGGGUCUAAUACCGGAUAGGACCUUUCUCCUCAUGGGGUUUAGUGGAAAGUUUUUCGGUGCAGGAUGAGCCCGCGGCCUAUCAGCUUGUUGGUGGGGUAAUGGCCUACCAAGGCGACGACGGGUAGCCGGCCUGAGAGGGUGAUCGGCCACAUUGGGACUGAGAUACGGCCCAGACUCCUACGGGAGGCAGCAGUGGGGAAUAUUGCACAAUGGGCGAAAGCCUGAUGCAGCGACGCCGCGUGAGGGAUGACGGCCUUCGGGUUGUAAACCUCUUUCAGCAGGGACGAAGCGCAAGUGACGGUACCUGCAGAAGAAGCACCGGCUAACUACGUGCCAGCAGCCGCGGUAAUACGUAGGGUGCGAGCGUUGUCCGGAAUUACUGGGCGUAAAGAGCUCGUAGGCGGUUUGUCACGUCGUCUGUGAAAUCCUAGGGCUUAACCCUGGACGUGCAGGCGAUACGGGCUGACUUGAGUACUACAGGGGAGACUGGAAUUUCUGGUGUAGCGGUGGAAUGCACAGAUAUCAGGAAGAACACCGAUGGCGAAGGCAGGUCUCUGGGUAGUAACUGACGCUGAGGAGCGAAAGCAU